AUAGCCGGGAUAGCUCAGUUGGUAGAGCAGAGGACUGAAAAUC
This 43-nucleotide transfer RNA is filed under the name Salpiglossis sinuata (painted tongue). RNAcentral's name for it is "partial tRNA-Phe". It matches the Rfam family "tRNA", at positions 1 to 39 of the family's 71-position model. Rfam says of the family: Transfer RNA (tRNA) molecules are approximately 80 nucleotides in length. Their secondary structure includes four short double-helical elements and three loops (D, anti-codon, and T loops). Further hydrogen bonds mediate the characteristic L-shaped molecular structure. tRNAs have two regions of fundamental functional importance: the anti-codon, which is responsible for specific mRNA codon recognition, and the 3' end, to which the tRNAs corresponding amino acid is attached (by aminoacyl-tRNA synthetases). tRNAs cope with the degeneracy of the genetic code in two manners: having more than one tRNA (with a specific anti-codon) for a particular amino acid; and 'wobble' base-pairing, i.e. permitting non-standard base-pairing at the 3rd anti-codon position. Lineage: Eukaryota; Viridiplantae; Streptophyta; Magnoliopsida; Solanales; Solanaceae. RNAcentral also lists the same sequence under 5 other names. The record is from RNAcentral.